RNAcentral lists this long non-coding RNA (1478 nucleotides) under Bos grunniens (domestic yak). RNAcentral's name for it is "lncRNA (ENSBGRG00000021943.1)". The record is from RNAcentral. Lineage: Eukaryota; Metazoa; Chordata; Mammalia; Artiodactyla; Bovidae.
UGAAGGUCUGAGGACAGCAGCCGGGGAGGGACCAAGGCCACAGAAGAAAGCCGUGGGAGGGGAGGCUGGGGAGGAGGGGCCGAGGAGGCCACGACGAAGCCUUCAGAGAGGUCAGGUGCUAAGAACAGAUGAGUUAGGGGAGCACUACAAGGGGCGGGGCUGAGGGAAUCCUGCGAGGGGCGGGGCUGGGAGGGCCUGUGAGGGCUGAACUGUAAGCCUUGUGAAGGGCGGGACUGUAGGCCGGGCGAGGGGCGGAGCUGUGGAGGACUAGGAUGGGCGGGGCUGAAAGGGCCUUUGAGGAGAGGAGAAUGUGUGAGCCUGAGGCGCGGCGCUUCGGGGCUAGCGAGGGAAGGGCAGAGCUGCAAAGACUGGAGAGGGCUAGGGCUGCGGGACCUGACGAAGGCAGAGCCACAGAUAACCGUCCUGAGCAGGACUUCGGAGCUUUGAAAGGGGAGGGGCAAGAAUACCUGUAAAGGGCGGGGCUGCGGGCCCUGUGAGGGGUGGGGCUUCGGGGGGUGGCGAGGGGUGUGGCUGGAAGAACACGUGAGAGACCUGGCGGGAGGGCGCUGAAGGACGCAGGUUCCCAAGACUUGUAGGGGGUGCUGAGGCUAACCGCCGAGAUGAUCUGUGUGGGGAGCACGAGGUUGUGAGGGGUAGGCUGUGUGUCUCCAGGAGGGAGAGGCAGUAGCUGGAAGAGCCUGUGGAGGCAGGGCUGGGAGGGGAACGUCUGGAAGGCUUUGGAACUGUGCCGAAGUCCUUCGGGAUGGGGCGCGAGAGAUGCGUGUAUUAAGCUGAUUAAAACCACGUUAUUUUGAGGCUUCAUUAGCAGGCAGGCGGUGCCGAUGCCGGGAGUUGUGAGGGAGAGGAGCGCUUACCACCGCCUCAAGUCCUCGAAGCCGCUCACUACGCAUGCGCGGCCAACGGCCUCGGGAGAGACUGCCAAAACCUCAGCUGCCAGAGCUGUCCGCGCUCUGAGAGGCGGAAGUGGGCGGGGCCUAGGGCGCUCCGUGCCGCCCCUGCUUUCCGGUCACGCCCUCCCGGGCACGCCCCCGAGCUCCGCAGGGCACGCCCUCCUUGACGGCCGCCUGCUGUCCACGUGGGCCUUCGCAGAGCCUGCUGUCUGUGGGCGCUGCCUUGCAGGCUGGGUGUGCCCAACGCCUGCGGUUUCCUGUGGGAGGAAGAGGCCCGCGGGCGCUCAGCUCGUGGCUUUGGAGGCCCUGGAGGGGAAGAUUCCACCACCGCCCUCGGAUACCCAGCCAUCCCAUCAUCCAGUUCCUUUCCCUUGUGGGGACCAAGAUUUCAGUCCUCCAGGUCUUAAUUCCACAUCAGGACCCCAGACACCUGGCUCCCUGUCCCUUGCUUUUCACCAAGCACCAACCCUCCAUAGAGACCCAGGUACAUAGUAGUAAUCACGCCCCACACUUAUUCAAUAAUCUAAGAAAUAAUAAUGAUAACAAUAAUAGUUACUAAUAACAUUG